RNAcentral lists this long non-coding RNA (309 nucleotides) under Mytilus galloprovincialis (Mediterranean mussel). Lineage: Eukaryota; Metazoa; Mollusca; Bivalvia; Mytilida; Mytilidae. The record is from RNAcentral.
UUUAUUAUAAUAAUGCAUUCAAAUAUAGUUAUACCAAGCAUGGUAUCAAUAAGCUACAAUGAACAAAGUGUCAACAUGAAGCACCUGAACCCCAAUGUGGGUAAUAAUAAAAGUAAUUAGAAAAAAUUAACAAUAAAAAGAAAAAAAAUUACAUCAAUUACAUAAUAAAAAGUGGCUGGAACAUGCUCUUUUGCUUAAAACCACAUGGUAAAAUAAACCCGGAUGAAGUAUCAAAGGGAAGCAAUCUCUUACAAGGCGUUAUCAAUUAGGUACAAUGAGAGUUGCCUCCAAUUGUACAAGGUAACAGAG